This 102-nucleotide Y RNA is filed under the name Propithecus coquereli (Coquerel's sifaka). Its description in RNAcentral is "Y RNA (ENSPCOG00000000760.1)". It matches the Rfam family "Y RNA". Rfam says of the family: Y RNAs are components of the Ro ribonucleoprotein particle (Ro RNP), in association with Ro60 and La proteins. The Y RNAs and Ro60 and La proteins are well conserved, but the function of the Ro RNP is not known. Lineage: Eukaryota; Metazoa; Chordata; Mammalia; Primates; Indriidae. The record is from Rfam by way of RNAcentral.
GGCUGGUCUGAGUGCAGUGGUGUUUACAACUAAUUGAUCACAACCAGUUACAGAUUCAUGUGUUCCUUCUCUACUCCCACUGCUUCACUUGACUAGCCUUAA